Molecule: long non-coding RNA, 205 nt
Filed under: Elaeis guineensis (African oil palm)
Lineage: Eukaryota; Viridiplantae; Streptophyta; Magnoliopsida; Arecales; Arecaceae
Description: long non-coding RNA (EGUI_LNC007513)
Source: RNAcentral
GGGGCAUAAUUAAUGACUUUAUAGUAUCCUAUCAUGGCACGAAAUGGAGCACUUAGGAUAUGACUUCAGGAUGAUGCGACUUGAUGUGACUCAAUAUGACCGUCUACUGUUUGAUCGAUGUCGAUAUCCAGAUCAGUCACUAGCCGGAGCAAGGUAAAAUUGAUUGAAAGUGGUUUGGGAUGAGUGACCUGUAUGCCAGCGGUCC